Molecule: ribosomal RNA, 477 nt
Filed under: uncultured bacterium
Lineage: Bacteria
Description: partial 16S ribosomal RNA
Rfam family: Bacterial small subunit ribosomal RNA
Source: RNAcentral
GAUGAACGCUGGCGGCGUGCUUAACACAUGCAAGUCGAACGGGAAACCUUUUAAUGAAGCUUCGGCAGAUUUAGCUGGUUUCUAGUGGCGGACGGGUGAGUAACGCGUGGGUAACCUGCCUUAUACAGGGGGAUAACAGUCAGAAAUGACUGCUAAUACCGCAUAAGCGCACAGGACCGCAUGGUCCGGUGUGAAAAACUCCGGUGGUAUAAGAUGGACCCGCGUUGGAUUAGCUUGUUGGUGGGGUAACGGCUCACCAAGGCGACGAUCCAUAGCCGGCCUGAGAGGGUGAACGGCCACAUUGGGACUGAGACACGGCCCAGACGCCUACGGGAGGCAGCAGUGGGGAAUAUUGCACAAUGGGGGAAACCCUGAUGCAGCGACGCCGCGUGAAGGAAGAAGUAUCUCGGUAUGUAAACUGCUAUCAGCAGGGAAGAUAGUGACGGUACCUGACUAAGAAGCCCCGGCUAACUACGU